GCCGUGGCUCAGUGGUAGAGCACCUGCUUCCCAUGCAGGAGGUCUCCGGUUCAGUUCCCAGUGUCGGCA
Molecule: transfer RNA, 69 nt
Filed under: Sphaerodactylus townsendi
Lineage: Eukaryota; Metazoa; Chordata; Lepidosauria; Squamata; Sphaerodactylidae
Description: tRNA-Gly
Rfam family: tRNA
About the family: Transfer RNA (tRNA) molecules are approximately 80 nucleotides in length. Their secondary structure includes four short double-helical elements and three loops (D, anti-codon, and T loops).
Source: RNAcentral